CAAAAUUCCCAGCUGACCUCCAAACCAAGGCUAUGGCUGAGCUCGCCAAUCUUCGGUGCAGACCAGAUCUCUACGCACUGACAAAAUACAGCCUCUGCUUUGCCAACACAGGCAGAGAAGAUUCAAAGCAGCUUCAAAACAACAAAACCAAACAUCACAGCAUUCCCAAAUGUCACAUUAUUGCGCAUCGUACAUGGACAGAAGCUAACGAGACGGGAAGACAGGAACGUGAUUCUCCUUGGAGAGAGACAAUUUUCACUGCCGCGUCCGAGUCCAAAAAUAACAAAGAACAAAGGCGGAUAAAUGAGUGAGUUUUUGAGCACAGGCUAGUGGGCUUUGGCAGCACCGGCCAGGCGGGAGGGGAGGGAGAGACAGUGAGAGCUAGCUAGCAGGCCCGUCCACACAUCUGUCCACACAGCACGGGGUAGGUUCCAGCGACACCCACAGAAACAGGCUUAACCUUCUCUUCCCCCCACCACCUGUUCAUUACUAUGGGCCCCCCCACCGAGCCACCGCCACUCUGCUCUUCUCCUCUCACCCGCUCCCUUGUUCUCGUUUUCUCUCUGUCUGUCGCUACUCGUUCCAGUUCUCUCUUUGUUAUCCUGUUUGUGUUUUUUCUUUUCUUUUUUUUAAUCCAGUCUCUCCCUCUUUCAUUUAAUUUUUGCUUUUUAAAAAAAAAUCCUCACCAGUUCAGCUGCUCGCUCUCCCCGCUGGUCUCUACCCAAUGAUGAUUUAGUUUCAGUUAAAAAUGUAUGCAGCUAAUAGUAAGAUCGUCUAUUUUUUUUUUUUUGUCCUAAGGUAAGGGCUCAACAGACAGGUUGUUUCAACUCGCGUGAAGGAGAAAGAAGUGGCCGGCAUUUGUGGAUGGGAGAAAAAGAGGCUUUUGAUGAAUUGUCUGUGAAAGUGCAUCAGUCUACCCACAUCUUCAAAACCCCCCGAUGCCUCUUGUCUGCUUUCAGACUCAUUUUUCUCCACAUUGUUGGUAAUUUGAGCAUUCUCGCCCAUGGCAUCAUUCAUAGUUGGCCCAUUUAAAUCCCCUUAGAAAUUCAAUUUGGAGAAAGGAAAUGACAAGAUUUAGCUUAUUGAGGUAUGCCAGAACAUCGUGAAAAUCAGACAUGGGAAUAUAAGAGACUGUAAAACCCUCAUCAUGGUUCGCCUUUGUUACUGUGUGCAAAAGGGACUAAAUAAUCACUCUACUUGUUGAAGCACAUUCGCAGGUUUGAUCUUUUUUUUAUUUCAGUCAGGGUGAACCGUGGAGUAGCCUCUACUUGUGAUAACCUCGGCAAUCUGAAAACUAGACAGACAUUUCCUUUGGAACAAAAAAAGAAAGAAGCAGGAAUCGGUUUGCUUUAAAGUAG
Astatotilapia calliptera (eastern happy) is the source of this 1358-nucleotide long non-coding RNA. The record is from Ensembl. Lineage: Eukaryota; Metazoa; Chordata; Actinopteri; Cichliformes; Cichlidae.